GAAAUGCGAUAAGUAAUGUGAAUUGCAGAAUUCAGUGAAUCAUCGAAUCUUUGAACGCACAUUGCGCCCGCCAGUAUUCUGGCGGGCAUGCCUGUCCGAGCGUCAUUUCAACCAUCAAGCCCCCGGGCUUGUGUUGGGGACCUGCGGCUGCCCGCAGGCCCUGAAAACCAGUGGCGGGCUCGCUGUCACACCGAGCGUAGUAGCAAUCACCUCGCUCAGGGCGUGCUGCGGGUUCCGGCCGUUAAACAGCCUUACAAAACCCAAGGUUGACCUCGGAUCAGGUAGGAAGACCCGCUGAACGGA
This 303-nucleotide unclassified non-coding RNA is filed under the name plant metagenome. Its description in RNAcentral is "partial contains 5.8S ribosomal RNA, internal transcribed spacer 2, and large subunit ribosomal RNA". The stretch from base 1 to 105 matches the Rfam family "5.8S ribosomal RNA", at positions 50 to 154 of the family's 154-position model. The record is from RNAcentral.